Molecule: ribosomal RNA, 446 nt
Filed under: uncultured bacterium
Lineage: Bacteria
Description: partial 16S ribosomal RNA
Rfam family: Bacterial small subunit ribosomal RNA
Source: RNAcentral
CCUACGGGUGACAGCAGUCGAGAAUCAUUCACAAUGGGGGAAACCCUGAUGGUGCGACGCCGCGUGGGGGCAUGAAGGUCUUCGGAUUGUAAACCCCUGUCAUGUGGGAGCAAAUUAAAAAGAUAGUACCACAAGAGGAAGAGACGGCUAACUCUGUGCCAGCAGCCGCGGUAAUACAGAGGUCUCAAGCGUUGUUCGGAAUCACUGGGCGUAAGGCGUGCGUAGGCUGUUUCGUAAGUCGUGUGUGAAAGGCGCGGGCUCAACCCGCGGACGGCACAUGAUACUGCGAGACUAGAGUAAUGGAGGGGGAACCGGAAUUCUCGGUGUAGCAGUGAAAUGCGUAGAUAUCGAGAGGAACACUCGUGGCGAAGGCGGGUUCCUGGACAUUAACUGACGCUGAGGCACGAAGGCCAGGGGAGCGAAAGGGAUUAGAUACCCUUGUAGUC